Long non-coding RNA from Hypanus sabinus (Atlantic stingray), 5555 nucleotides. RefSeq lists it as uncharacterized. NCBI's taxonomy places the organism in Eukaryota, Metazoa, Chordata, Chondrichthyes, Myliobatiformes, Dasyatidae. The record is from RefSeq and is a predicted model, not a curated record. The transcript has 5 exons.
AAUAGAAAUUUAGCAUGGUAAUGGGUCAUUCAGCCCAAAUCACCCAUACUAUCCAAAACGUAAACUAGUCCUAUUUCCCACAUUAGGCCUAUAUCUCUGCAAUGAGUGGUUCCCAAAGAGGGUAAUAUUGCCCCCCUAUAGAGGUGACGGGAGUUUCUAAGGGGAGAAUAAAAAUAAAGGCAGUAGUGGGAGGGGGCGCAUGGUAGCAAGGGGGCCAGUUGAGGGAUUACAAGCUUAAUUUAAGAAAUGAAUUACUUAUUAUGAGCACUUGAUUCUCAGUGCCUCAUAAUUGAUUACAAUGAUAGAUCUCUUGUUCAGCCACCAUUCCCUGAGGCUUUAUUUGAAGCACAUUAUAGUUGUUGAAAAGCAUGGCCUCACUGUAUUUGGCAUUUCAUGAGCAAUCUGGACUGAAGAAAUUGCGUUAUUUCUGGGCCCCGUCUGGCCCACGUAUUACUGCUGGUCACUACUGAAGUACAGUGUCAGCAAGUACAAUUCCCAUAUUCUACUCAUGCAGUGCCACAUUUCCUGUGAAUUAGAGUACGGCAUUCACUGGAGAAAAAUUUAGGAUCUGCCCUUUUGAAUAGUCUCGACUGCUUUUCUCUAGCCCGCAGCCCAACCAAGAUAUCACUGCCCCACUUUACUGACCUUCAGGCUGAGAGUCAAGUUUUGUCUGAGUUAUGAUGACAUUAUAAUUUUCCCCUUUAUUGAGGGUGGACAUAAACAAUAGGUGAUUGAACAAACACAAGCGAAGUAUGGACAGUAAAGUGUAGCGUAUCUGAAAUAUGGAUUUAUACCAGCACCAAGCUACAGCAGCCAAUGUGCCUAUUGUGUAAACAAGUUUUUUUUUAAAAUGAGGCCGUGAAACCACCCAGGCUCCUUGAAAACUUGAGGAGAAAUACACUUUAAUAAAGCAAACAAGAACUUGGCUUGUUUUCAGUCCGAGGGAAAACUUUCAGAAACAAAAAACUCUUCAAAACAUGUUUGCCAGCACUUCACAACCAAACAGUGAUAGUUUAUGUGUUCCAUACAGCAUUUCAUUGCUCGUUACUAAAUCUGGAAAUCCGCACAUAAUCAGAGUACUGAUUCUGCCAGCAGUAAGAAAGCUUUUAUGUAGGGUUUUGCAUUAAUCACCAAGACCAAUUAAUUAAUGCGAUUCCAUUCAGUGAAAACUCUGUUCAAAGACAAAUAAAUGAAAUGUCUGAGAAUGUGGAAGACACAUUGUGCAACGUACUUACAACAGAAUUUGCUCUACAGUUGAAUAAGUCAAAUUUGCAUGGCGAUUAAUCUUUGCUUCUUGGUUAUGUUUGCUUUAUAAAAAGAUGAAAGCAUGGUUCAAGAAUUGUUAUUUGCAAGAGGACUAGAAACAGAUACCAAGGGGAAGUCAACAGUUCAGGUUGUUGAGCAAUUUUUCAAAGAGGACUUUCUGCUCACCAACAGUUUUGCUUGUAUAACAGGUGGGACACAAUCAAUGACAAGAUGUCACUGUGGGAUCAUUACUUUCUUUCAAAAAGCUGUACCUAACAUACUUAUUAAGGGUGCAAUUCAGAUAACCUAAGUGAUCAGCUGUACAAAUCAUUAAAUACUGUUAUCACAUAGGUAAUUAAAACCAAGUUGCAUGCUCUCAAUUCCCAAGUAUUUCAAGCACUUUAUAUUGACAAGGAUGAACAUUUUGAAUGCUUACUGCUUCACACAGAAGUCAGAUGGCUCUCAAAAGGAAACUGCCUGAGAUGCUUUAAUGCGCUUUUUGAAACAGUGAUAAAAUUUGUUGAAGACUCAAAUGCUUCAUUCUGUAAUCAACUCAAGAAUAUUAGGCAUGACAUUGCUUAUUUGUUAGAAUUAUUCACCAAGUUUAAUGAAAUCAAUCUUCAUUUGCAAGGAAAUAAUAUGAAUCUGAUCAAUGUCAAAGCAGUUGUCUUUACAUUUCUGCCCAAAUUAACCCCAUUUAAGUGCAACAUUGGCCAUCGUUAGCGAGCUGAAUUAAGACAUGUCAGAGAGAUUUCAGUAUGUUCUCUUGAUCCAAAUAGUAGACUGGGUAAUAAAUCUAUUCUCGAACACUUGUAAUGAGGAAUUAACAGGAAGGAUGGAAGAACUGAUCUUGCUACAAAAUGACUGAGCUGAAGCCGAGGUUCAAAAAUUCAUAUCAAGACUUUUGGCUGCAAUAAGAAAUCUGAAUGCAUCCUGAAAUAGGGAAAAAUAUCAAGAUGUUCUUUAUUGUUUUUCCAACAUCAUAUUUAGUGGAGUGUGGUUUCAGUGCAAUUGCCCAACAUUUUUCAGAGCAAAACAGACUGCAAGUUACUGAACAUUGGGAUAUGCGACUCUUGAGUGACAUUCAGCCUGAUGUUGAGAAGCUGAUAUCACUGCAUCAAGCCCAUCCAUCUCAUUGAAAGGGAAAAGGAAUCAUAAACUAGAGGACAUAGGCAUAAGGUGAAAGGGGAACGACGUUUGGAGGAGGUCCGAGGAAGAACGUUUCCAUGUAAAGGAUGGUUGGAAUCCAGAAUGCAUUGUCUGAGUAGGUGGUGGAGACCCACGGCAACUGAGGCAUGCUAUUACUGCCAUCAGGAAAGAGGUACAGGAGCCGGAAAACGCAAAAUCAAUGAUUCAGGAACAAUUUCUCCUCUGCCAUCAGAUUCCUGAAAGGCAGUCCCUCAGGAGAGGAUAACUUGUACUGAGGAUUCUGAGCUGGAACACAACUGAUAUUAGACUGACUGGCAGCUGUUCAGUAAAUCCCCUUACAAUCCACAAUCGCAGCAGAAACAUUGCAGGUAUGGCCAAAUCAAAUGAGACACUUCUGUCCACUGAGGUGAUACUAGACUAGACAUCUUUAUCUGCACUGAUAGAGGCCAUUCAUAGGAGAUAAUACAAGAGAAAAUGUACCGUAAAUCCUUAAUUUUUAUAAGCGAUGUUAAAGAAACAGGCGCAAAUCUAAGAUAAUCUCUAAUGCUUGGUUUGUGUAAUAAAUAAGAAUGGAAAUUGUUAAUAAGUUUAAUGUCAUAUAAUAAUAUACUCUUUGAUGGUAAAGUAAGUGGAGUAAACAGAACAAGCUGCAAAUGGAACAGGAAUAUUGUAGCUGGUACUCAUUAUUAAUAUUACAAAUGUGAUUCAUUUUACUGUUGCAGUCAAUACAUCAUUUGCUGUAGCUUUAAACAAGAUGAUUGUCUACAUCAAAUUCAUCCUUUCUUACCAAUGGGUAGUGUUACUUUCGUUUCCAUUCCACUCCCAGUCACAUCAGAUACAGAACAUAGCGAAGUACCAAACCUUGUGCUGCCGACUACAUUUCAUUCUUCAAUUGAACCUCACUAGUAAGAUCUACCACAGGUAGUCCCUGAGUUACGAAUGUCUGACUUACGGACAACUUGUACUUACAAACCGAGGAAGGAGAACGCCGUUGGCCAUUUUAAGUCAAAAUGCGAUGCCAUCUGCCAUUUUAAGUUGUUGCCGUUGACACUGUAUUGAGUGCUUAACUUUGUAUUUGCCUUAAAUUUUUCAUAGUAAGAUUCACCCUGACCCCCGCCCCCCCCCCCCCAAUUCCGGUCGGCUGGUGACGCAGUGAGAUCAGUGCCAGGCUCGAGUUCGAUCCAGUGACAAACCGCUCCCAUGCUGGGUUAAUGUCUAUCCAGUGACUCCCGUACCAUCCAUGCCAGGUUGAUGUCGAGCUUGAGACUUGACCUCAUAAAAAAAAACACUGCCACCUCCAGUUUAAAUUCCCAAGUGGAAUGUUGUGGAUGAUCAAAUACCCAAACCCAGCACAGCCCCCACUUGUCACAUUUAGCCUGUCUCAGUGCGGAGGUCCUUAGGACCCAGCGGAGCUCGAAAGCCAGCGCAGCUCGGGACCCGCCGCCCACAGUGUUUCUGUUCCAUUGACGGGAAGCGAUCACGAUUGAAAAUAAAAUGGAAAUAAUAAAGCAUUUGGAAAGAGGUGAAACGUCAUCGAUCAUUGGAAAAGCGUUAGGCUACAGUCGGCCAACGAUCGGAACAAUUUUAAAGGAUAACGGAUAUGGUGAGAAUAAUGGAGCACGUGAAAGGCCCUGCCCCGAUGAAAGCUACAAUUAUUACUAAGCAAAGCAGUGGUUUAAUUAUCGGAAUACAUACGUUUCUUAAGUGUUUUAAUGCAUAGAAAGGUAAAUAUAUACUAUAUACUAAGACAAACGUUUGACUAACUGACGCUAAAUAAUACUAGAUGUACUUGUUCUGAUGUACAUACAAAUCUGACUUAAAGACGGACUCAGGAACAGAACUCGUACGUAACCCGGGGACUGCCUGUAUUGUGAUUAAUUUGUAAAGGGAGGGAUAAUAUAGCUACUAUGGGUACCGUUGUACACUUUGAAGACAGUGGUGUCUGGUAUUUCCCCAUUUUUUUCAAGAGGUCAUCUAACACCUAUUCCAACUGUUACAUGUGCAGUACCCAUUUUAACCAUGUUUACUGCAGUGAAGGCAGUGCUUCAGUCCAGCUUCUAAGUAGACAUUUUUGCUUCCAGCAAAGAGUUGCAUUACUCAUGCACCAUGGGAAGCUUUGUACUUCAAUAAACAGCAAAGAAAAUCUUCAUGACUUGUCAACCAACAUCUCUUCAUGCUAAUACAAGCUCUGUAUUAUAAAGCUGCACUUAUGGCAAGUUAUUACAUACCCAAUUUUCUAAACAUGAUAGAACAUACUUUCCCUGACAAUUCUAUUUAAAAUUAACUCUGCAUUAAUCAAUUUUUCUGCAUCUAGUUUUAAUUUGGUACUGCAAGUAAAUGUAUUGAUCUUAUCUGCUUCCCAGAAAUCUUCAGGCAUUUUAUUGUAGAAAUAAAUGAGCAUCUGAUAAAAUAAGGAGUACAAGCUUUUUGAUUGUCUAUUCCAAGUGCACAGACACCUCAAAAGUCAACAGCAGGAAUUAAGUGGAAUAAAUUGCAUGCAUGCAUAUUAUGAAAUUGUUACUGAAUUUAUUGUUUAUUAUUAAUAUUGGGAUAUUUAUUAUACAUUUUAUGCCAGAGUAUAAAAUCACAACUUUGUGUCAUCUGAAAAUACCAUAUUAUUUAGUCAACUGAUUGAAGUGAAAAGAAUUGUAGAACAAUUGCAAAUGUACAUCCACAGCACUAGAUUUACAUUCAUGUGCUGCUAAAAUUUGCCCACAACAUAAUUGGGCUUCUUUCUUAAGGAAGGGUGCAAUACUGAAGACCUAAAAAUGUUACUUUUGUACCAAUAUCCCUGAGUAAAAAUUAAUGACAGUCAAAAUUAAUCCUAACUAUUGUUGAAUAUACAAAUGUAUUAUUGCAAAAUCAAUAAUAUUAGACAGGAAUUAAGUCAUAAAUUUAUCCUGUAAAUGAAAAACAGUUUUCAGUUAUAACAAUGAAUAAGAAUUUAAGCUUUUGUUUUAUCUGUAUAGAAAUACUUGACACAUUAGAUUGGCAAAGUGAAAUGUGAAGUGGUAUGCUUUUAGAAGAAAUUGCUAUAAUAAAAUUGGUGGCAAAGAAGACACUCAAAAUGGCAUGAACUUCAUUUGUUUUGUGCACCAUUAAAGUGUAAUGCAAAAGCAUAUAGACAACUCAAAGCUUAAUAUCAGUCCCUCCACUUAAUG